UUUAACGUUUAUUUAUUUUUGAGACAGAGAGAGAGAGAGAGAGCAUGAACAGGGGAGGGUCAGAGAAAGAGGGAGACACAGAAUCUGAAACAGGCUCCAGGCUCUGAGCUGUCAGCACAGAGCCCGACGUGGGGCUCAAACCCACGGACUGCGAGAUCAUGACCUGAGCCGAAGUCGGACGCUUAACCGACUGAGCCACCCAGGUGCCCCUUAUUGACUAUUUUUAAGUAUAUAAAGUGUUAACAGAUUUUUGUACCUGUUAGAGAAAUACAGAUUUUUUUUUCUUCCAGUUCAUAAAGGACAAAAUACAAGGGAAUGGAGUUUAGCUGGAAAUGAGGAAGUACUUCCUGAGAAUUAAGAUUAAGGGAGCCUCUGGAGUUUCAGUGUAUGGUUAAGAAGAGAAUAGACUGGAAUGCAGAGGAAUCAGCUGAAUCUUCACAUUUUCUUUUCAAUUCACUUAAAUUAGGCUCUUACCUCCACUCCUUCCUUGAAACUACUCUCCUGGAAGUCACCAGUGAUCUUCAUGUUGCCAAAUCCACAGUCCUGUUGGUCAGGUUGUUCAGUUCACUAUCAUCCUGCUUGACCAUCCUCAUGAGCUUCAUCAGCACAAACAAAACUCCCUUCUGGGACAUAUUCCUAAAACUCUACAGUCCUCUGGUUCUCCUUCUAUCCCACUGUGGCUCCUUUUUCAUCUUCCAACAUCUUAAUUUGGGUCUAGGAUUUCAUUUUUCUAUCUGUACUCAUUUCCUUAUUGACUUUAUCCAACCUCAUGGCUACCAGAUACCAUCUAAAUGCUGUUGACCCUCAAAUUCACAUCUCUAAUAUAGACCUCUGCCUUGAGUUUCAGCAUUAUACGUGUCUAAAACCAAGCUCUUGAUCUUCCUCCUACCCCAUAUCUGUUCUGCCACCCCAGUCUUUCUUAUCUUAGUUAAUGGUAACCUCAUCCUUUUACUUGCUCAGGUGAGAAACCUUGGGAUCAUCCUUGAUUACUUCCUCUCAUGCUCUGCUUAUAUCCCGCUCAUCAUCAAAUCUCACCUUGGCCACACCUUUGGAACAGAUCCAGUAUAUAUGACUGCUUCUUACCGCCUACAUUUACCACCCCAAUCUAAACUGUCGUCAUCUCUUUCCUGGUUUGUUGCAAUAGCUUCUUAGUAGCUUCUUCCUUUCACUCUUACCCCUCCUACAGCCUAUUCCCAGCACUUUCUUCAAAGAACCCGAAGGAUCCUGUUGAAAGAUGGAAGGACGCAUUCAACUGGAUUGGGGAGUCAAAUCAGCAAAACAGGGCAUGCUACACAAUACACAGAAUGGACAUUGGAACUGGGCAUGGAGAAGGUGAUGUGAAGGCACAUUUGGAAGCCGAAUCCCACCAGUUUGGGCUGAGAUCCGCGAGUACUUCUAAAUCAAUGAAAAGUUUUCUCAUCUCCCCAAAAGAGAUCAAUAAUCAGUUGGAAAUAGCUGCUGCUGAACAAUCUUAGACAUACCACACGAAUGAAUAUGCAUUAUGGUUUUAUUUCCUGUUGCUCUAUGCAGCUUACAUUUUCUGAUUCACAGGUUACAGUAAUGCACCCUUGUGGGCAAACAAGGAAACCUAAAUGCCAGAUACAUUUGCCCCUUAUGGUAUAGAGCUAAUUCUCUCAGGUCUCUGCAACCAUCCUGCUGUCCGUAGCACAUCAGAUCAAAUGUUCUGCCCAACUGUAUUUUGAUUUAAAAUUAAACUUUUGAAUCAUCUUCUUGAUUUGUGUGAAGAUUUUAAUGAAAUCUGAAGACAACAAAAAAGGCACAAAGAUUGUUGACAUCUCAUUCUACUUUGCUUACUGUUUGCACAUCCAGGAUAGUUCAAAUGUAAAUUUUGGAAGUUCCAUUCAAUCUACAAACUUCUCACCAAAGAAACUGAAAUGAUCUUACCUAUUAAAUGCCUACAUGCCUCAUACACAUACUCUUAAAAAAAAAAAACAUUUAAAAACAGAAGCAGUGUGAUUGUUUACCUAUGAAAUUGAGGCUUUCAUAAUCCAAGUUUUGGGUCACUUUUCCAUUUCCUCAAAAUGUACAGAAGCAUUUAAUGAGAUGUUUGAAUUUAUAGAAAUGCAGGGAGAGAGCCUCCUAAGCAUCUUUGCCUUACAAGAUGAUUGUCGUUAUUGUCAGUAUAAAAUGAUACUAACGAAUUGGCCGGGUGUAAAAUCGUAUUUUCGAGUGUUGUGGGACAAAAGGAAUGUCCUUCUCUAAUUUGGAGUAACACUGAAGAUGAGAAUGGAGGGAAAAGGACAGUAAAACAGACAUUUAUAUGCUGUUUCUUCAGAAGUUUUUAGUGAUCUUUGAUGAAGCCCUAAGAAGCCUAUGAAAGGAUAAAGUGACUGAAUCUGAGUCAUUUGGUGUUAUAUUUAGGUUGUGGCAAAAACUCAUAUGGUAAUAAAAUGACUCCUUUUUGGAAA
This is a long non-coding RNA of Neofelis nebulosa (Clouded leopard), 2429 nucleotides long. RefSeq lists it as uncharacterized. The transcript has 2 exons. NCBI's taxonomy places the organism in Eukaryota, Metazoa, Chordata, Mammalia, Carnivora, Felidae. The record is from RefSeq and is a predicted model, not a curated record.